Molecule: ribosomal RNA, 722 nt
Filed under: archaeon enrichment culture clone A21D68
Lineage: Archaea
Description: bacterial SSU rRNA
Rfam family: Archaeal small subunit ribosomal RNA
Source: RNAcentral
GGUUACUGCUAUCGAGGUUCGACUAAGCCAUGCGAGUCGAAUGUAGCAAUACAUGGCGAACUGCUCAGUAACACGUGGACAACCUGCCCUUAGGUUGGGUAUAAACCCGGGAAACUGGGUAUAAUACCCGAUAGGUCUCGAUUGCUGGAAUGCAUCGAGAUUUAAAGCUCCGGCGCCUAAGGAUGGGUCUGCGGCCUAUCAGGUAGUAGUGGGUGUAGCGUACCUACUAGCCUACGACGGGUACGGGUUGUGAGAGCAAGAGCCCGGAGAUGGAUUCUGAGACACGAAUCCAGGCCCUACGGGGUGCAGCAGGCGCGAAAACUUUACAAUGCUGGCAACAGCGAUAAGGGAACCUCGAGUGCCAGGUUACAAAUCUGGCUGUCGAGAUGCCUAAAAAGCAUUUCAUAGCAAGGGCCGGGCAAGACCGGUGCCAGCCGCCGCGGUAACACCGGCGGCUCGAGUGGUAACCGUUAUUAUUGGGUCUAAAGGGUCUGUAGCCGGCCGGAUAAGUCUCUUGAGAAAUCUGGCAGCUUAACUGUCAGGCUUUCAGGAGAUACUGUCUGGCUCGAGGCCGGGAGAGGUGAGAGGUACUUCAGGGGUAGGGGUGAAAUCUUGUAAUCCUUGAAGGACCACCAGUGGCGAAGGCGUCUCACCAGAACGGACCUGACGGCAAGGGACGAAAGCUGGGGGCACGAACCGGAUUAGAUACCCGGGUAGUCCUA